Molecule: long non-coding RNA, 116 nt
Organism: Etheostoma spectabile (orangethroat darter)
Lineage: Eukaryota; Metazoa; Chordata; Actinopteri; Perciformes; Percidae
Exons: 3
Source: RefSeq, a predicted model, not a curated record
UGGUGCUGAUAUGGGCUGCUUUUAUCCAACUACUGCUAACCGCUGGUGGAGUUUGUGACUGUUAAAUGCCGACCAUUCUACAUUUCACACAAAUUACCGGCUGUGUUCCUACUCGG